Physella acuta is the source of this 403-nucleotide long non-coding RNA. RefSeq lists it as uncharacterized. NCBI's taxonomy places the organism in Eukaryota, Metazoa, Mollusca, Gastropoda, Physidae. The record is from RefSeq and is a predicted model, not a curated record.
GAAUGGACAAAGGCUAUGGAAGCACUUCCAUAAAGAAAAGCAGGCUGAUAUUUGAGUCACAGGCCUACAUGAUAGACACAUCGUGGCCUAACUCAUGAUGAGCAAUUUGAUCUUACUGUUGCUGCUGUUAUGCACAGUUUCUUUCGUGGAAUGUAACUUAACAGAAACCUUUGGCAAAAGAUGGUGCGCCCGAUACUUUAAAAAAUGUUUUCCCACUAAACCAUGCUGUUGGGACAUUUAUGUGUGCAGGACCAAACCAUGUGGAACAACAUUUAGGUGUAUGAGACCAGGGAAUGGCAACGCAUGACGUCAUUUUUGGAUGACCCAGGAGUCCUUGUCAAAAGAAACAACUAAUGGAUAAUUUUGUUAAUUAAUUCAUCUAAUAAAAAUCGAAAAGAAAAUU